GUCGGGGUAGCUCAGUGGUAGAGCACAGCACUCAUAAAGCUGCGGUCGUGGGUUCGAUCCCCACCCUCGACACUA
This 75-nucleotide transfer RNA is filed under the name Candidatus Zambryskibacteria bacterium CG_4_9_14_3_um_filter_40_16. RNAcentral's name for it is "tRNA-Met". It matches the Rfam family "tRNA". Rfam says of the family: Transfer RNA (tRNA) molecules are approximately 80 nucleotides in length. Their secondary structure includes four short double-helical elements and three loops (D, anti-codon, and T loops). Lineage: Bacteria; Candidatus Zambryskiibacteriota. The record is from RNAcentral. RNAcentral also lists the same sequence under 1 other name.